This 73-nucleotide transfer RNA is filed under the name Ovis aries (sheep). It matches the Rfam family "tRNA". From Rfam's summary of the family: Transfer RNA (tRNA) molecules are approximately 80 nucleotides in length. The record is from Rfam by way of RNAcentral. Lineage: Eukaryota; Metazoa; Chordata; Mammalia; Artiodactyla; Bovidae.
UCUAUAAUGGCUCAGAUGGUAAAGAAUCUGCCUGCAAUGCAGGAGACCUGGGUUCGAAACCCAGGUUAGAAAA